AUUUGAUGAUGUGGACAUUGUAUCUGCAACUCCCCAAAUCUUUCCCAAGCUUCGAAGAAUUCCUUCGUAUGCUUUUGUCUAAAAGUUUGGAUCUUGUUUCUCAACUC
RNAcentral lists this small nucleolar RNA (107 nucleotides) under Thalictrum thalictroides. Its description in RNAcentral is "Plant small nucleolar RNA R71". It matches the Rfam family "Plant small nucleolar RNA R71". From Rfam's summary of the family: R71 is a member of the C/D box family of snoRNAs containing the C (UGAUGA) and D (CUGA) box motifs. Multiple nearly identical copies of this snoRNA have been identified in Arabidopsis, and it is thought to function as a 2'-O-ribose methylation guide for 18S ribosomal RNA. The record is from Rfam by way of RNAcentral. Lineage: Eukaryota; Viridiplantae; Streptophyta; Magnoliopsida; Ranunculales; Ranunculaceae.